CUCGGGAGGCUAUGAGCCGGAGGGAC
RNAcentral lists this non-coding RNA (26 nucleotides) under Cricetulus griseus (Chinese hamster). Lineage: Eukaryota; Metazoa; Chordata; Mammalia; Rodentia; Cricetidae. The record is from RNAcentral.